Molecule: ribosomal RNA, 452 nt
Filed under: uncultured bacterium
Lineage: Bacteria
Description: bacterial SSU rRNA
Rfam family: Bacterial small subunit ribosomal RNA
Source: RNAcentral
CCCCCAGACUCCUACGGGAGGCAGCAGUGGGGAAUAUUGGGCAAUGGGCGCAAGCCUGACCCAGCAACGCCGCGUGAAGGAAGAAGGCUUUCGGGUUGUAAACUUCUUUUCUCAGGGACGAAGAAAGUGACGGUACCUGAGGAAUAAGCCGCGGCUAACUACGUGCCAGCAGCCGCGGUAAUACGCAGGCGGCAAGCGUUAUCCGGAUUUAUUGGGUGUAAAGGGCGUGUAGGCGGGAGCGCAAGACUGAUGUGAAAACUCAGGGCGCAACCCUGAGCCUGCAUUUGAAACUGUGUUUCUUGAGUGCUGGAGAGGCAAUCGGAAUUCCGUGUGUAGCGGUGAAAUGCGUAGAUAUACGGAGGAACACCAGUGGCGAAGGCGGAUUGCUGGGCAGUAACUGACGCUGAGGCGCGAAAGCGUGGGGAGCAAACAGGAUUAGAUACCCGCGUAAG